AUAAUGAGUUAUCAAGUCUUCACAUAGAUAUAAAUGUUAAGGGUAACUUUAUAUCGGAUUGACCCACCAUGAGAAUACUACAUAGAGUGUUAUGAAAUGUAAUAAGUUUUCUCAUAGUGAUAAAAGGUGUAUUCCACCCUUCGACCUGAAACCACUAUGUACCCUAGAUGCAGGAGUGUAAUACCUUGUUGCCAUUCAAACGUUAUCCGUAACUGGAUAAUUAUAAAGUUGGUUGAUGGGUAUCCCACGAAUCAUGCUGAGGGACAUGAGUGACCUAGAUGGAAUUUGUCCCUCCUACAUAACGGGAGAUAUGUCUAUGGGCCCAAUAUAGAACUAGACAAGGAUGAUAUACUAUGCCUUGUGUUCAAUAUAGACAUGAGGGCAAAAGGGUAAUUGUGCACAAGAUAUUUAUCACGGAAAGGUUAGUCAGAUCACGUGACAUUCCUGUGACUUGGGUAACAGUGAUGUGUUGCUAGAUNN
RNAcentral lists this long non-coding RNA (480 nucleotides) under Trifolium pratense (red clover). RNAcentral describes it as "long non-coding RNA (TPRA_LNC004736)". Lineage: Eukaryota; Viridiplantae; Streptophyta; Magnoliopsida; Fabales; Fabaceae. The record is from RNAcentral.